GUGGGGAAUAUUGGACAAUGGGCGAAAGCCUGAUCCAGCCAUGCCGCGUGUGUGAAGAAGGUCUUCGGAUUGUAAGGCACUUUAAGUUGGGAGGAAGGGCAGUAAGUUAAUACCUUGCUGUUUUGACGUUACCGACAGAAUAAGCACCGGCUAACUUCGUGCCAGCAGCCGCGGUAAUACGAAGGGUGCAAGCGUUAAUCGGAAUUACUGGGCGUAAAGCGCGCGUAGGUGGUUUUGUAAGUUGGAGGUGAAAUCCCCGGGCUCAACCUGGGAACUGCCUCCAAAACUGCAUGACUAGAGUACGGUAGAGGGUAGUGGAAUUUCCUGUGUAGCGGUGAAAUGCGUAGAUAUAGGAAGGAACACCAGUGGCGAAGGCGACUACCUGGACUGAUACUGACACUGAGGUGCGAAAGCGUGGGGAGCAAACAGGAUUAGAUACCCGAGUAGUCC
This 450-nucleotide ribosomal RNA is filed under the name uncultured bacterium. Its description in RNAcentral is "partial 16S ribosomal RNA". It matches the Rfam family "Bacterial small subunit ribosomal RNA", at positions 354 to 796 of the family's 1533-position model. The record is from RNAcentral.